GACGAACGCUGGCGGCGUGCUUAACACAUGCAAGUCGAACGGAAAGGCCCUGCUUUUGUGGGGUGCUCGAGUGGCGAAAGGGUGAGUAACACGUGAGUAACCUGCCCUGGACUUUGGGAUAACUUCAGGUAACUGGGGCUAAUACCGGAUAGGAGCUCCUGCUGCAUGGUGGGGGUUGGAAAGUUUCGGCGGUUGGGGAUGGACUCGCGGCUUAUCAGCUUGUUGGUGGGGUAGUGGCUUACCAAGGCUUUGACGGGUAGCCGGCCUGAGAGGGUGACCGGCCACAAUGGGACUGAGAUACGGCCCAGACUCCUACGGGAGGCAACAGUGGGGAAUAUUGCACAAUGGGCGGAAGCCUGAUGCAGCAACGCCGCGUGCGGGAUGACGGCCUUCGGGUUAUGAACCGCUUUCGCCUGUGACGAAGCGUGAGUGACGGUAAUGGGUAAAGAAGCACCGGCUAACUACGUG
Molecule: ribosomal RNA, 468 nt
Filed under: uncultured bacterium
Lineage: Bacteria
Description: partial 16S ribosomal RNA
Rfam family: Bacterial small subunit ribosomal RNA
Source: RNAcentral